This 440-nucleotide ribosomal RNA is filed under the name uncultured bacterium. Its description in RNAcentral is "partial 16S ribosomal RNA". It matches the Rfam family "Bacterial small subunit ribosomal RNA", at positions 338 to 795 of the family's 1533-position model. The record is from RNAcentral.
CCUACGGGCGGCAGCAGUGGGGAAUAUUGCACAAUGGGGGAAACCCUGAUGCAGCGACGCCGCGUGAGUGAAGAAGUAUUUCGGUAUGUAAAGCUCUGUCAGCAGGGAAGAAAAUGACGGUACCUGACCAAGAAGCCCCGUCGAACUACGUGCCAGCAGCCGCGGUAAUACGGAGGGGGCAAGCGUUAUCCGGAUUUACUGGGUGUAAAGGGAGCGUAGACGGCAGGGCAAGUCUGGAGUGAAAGGCGGGGGCUCAACCCCCGGAGUGCAAUGGAAACUGGCAGGCUGGAGUGCAGGGGAGGUAAGUGGAAUUCCUGGUGUAGCGGUGAAAUGCGUAGAUAUUAGGAAGAACCCCAGUGGCGAAGGCGGCUUACUAGACUGUAACUGACGUUGAGGCUCGAAAGCGUGGGGAGCAAACAGGAUUAGAUACCCGUGUAGUC